RNAcentral lists this ribosomal RNA (681 nucleotides) under Triticum aestivum (bread wheat). RNAcentral's name for it is "partial small subunit ribosomal RNA". The record is from RNAcentral. Lineage: Eukaryota; Viridiplantae; Streptophyta; Magnoliopsida; Poales; Poaceae.
AUGAACAUUUGCCUCCCCGAGCUCUACAAACACUGCACAAGAAAGAAGCUCACGGUGGCAGAAGCAAUCGGCGAUGCAAGAUGGACAAGACAUAUCAAAGUAAACCCCUCAGGCCAGGCCAUCCAGGAGUUCACCACACUCUGGGUGCAACUGCAACAUGUGGUGCUGACUGACGAGCCGGACUGGGUGGAAUGGAAAUGGACAGCUGAUGGACGAUUCACGUCGGCAUCAGCGUAUGCGAUUCAAUUCGAGGGAUCGACACGGACUGAAUUCAAACAGAUCAUCUGGAAGGCCGACGCACCCAUGAAGUGCAAAAUAUUCUCCUGGCUGGCGGUGCUAAAUCGAUGCCUCACCGCCGACAACCUGGCCAAACGAGGAUGGCCACAUAAUGCAUCAUGCAGUCUCUGCCAGAGGACGCCGGAGAGCGUAUUUCACCUGCUCGCCUCAUGCUCCUUCACCACGGAGCUUUGGCAGAGGGUGCUAAGCCGGUGCGGUCUACCGGCGACGCUGGCACCAUCCGCAACCGCGGCAAAUCUUCUAGAAUGGUGGGAUCAAAGCCGGUCCAGGGUGCCGAGGGACCAUAGACGUGGAUGGAGCUCGCUGGUGCAGUUGGUCUGGUGGACGGCAUGGAAAGAGCGAAAUGCGCGGAUCUUUGAUAACAAGUUCUCGACGGGGAUGUAG